AGAGUUUGAUCAUGGCUCAGAGCGAACGCUGGCGGCAGGCUUAACACAUGCAAGUCGAGCGGGCGUAGCAAUACGUCAGCGGCAGACGGGUGAGUAACGCGUGGGAACAUACCUUUUGGUUCGGAACAACCCAGGGAAACUUGGGCUAAUACCGGAUAAGCCCUUACGGGGAAAGAUUUAUCGCCGAAAGAUUGGCCCGCGUCUGAUUAGCUAGUUGGUGAGGUAAUGGCUCACCAAGGCGACGAUCAGUAGCUGGUCUGAGAGGAUGAUCAGCCACAUUGGGACUGAGACACGGCCCAAACUCCUACGGGAGGCAGCAGUGGGGAAUAUUGGACAAUGGGGGCAACCCUGAUCCAGCCAUGCCGCGUGAGUGAUGAAGGCCCUAGGGUUGUAAAGCUCUUUUGUGCGGGAAGAUAAUGACGGUACCGCAAGAAUAAGCCCCGGCUAACUUCGUGCCAGCAGCCGCGGUAAUACGAAGGGGGCUAGCGUUGCUCGGAAUCACUGGGCGUAAAGGGUGCGUAGGCGGGUCUUUAAGUCAGGGGUGAAAUCCUGGAGCUCAACUCCAGAACUGCCUUUGAUACUGAAGAUCUUGAGUCCGGGAGAGGUGAGUGGAACUGCGAGUGUAGAGGUGAAAUUCGUAGAUAUUCGCAAGAACACCAGUGGCGAAGGCGGCUCACUGGCCCGGUACUGACGCUGAGGCACGAAAGCGUGGGGAGCAAACAGGAUUAGAUACCCCAGUAGUCC
This 744-nucleotide ribosomal RNA is filed under the name uncultured bacterium. RNAcentral describes it as "bacterial SSU rRNA". It matches the Rfam family "Bacterial small subunit ribosomal RNA", at positions 8 to 796 of the family's 1533-position model. The record is from RNAcentral.